UGGGCGCGCCGGGACUGUGAGAC
Molecule: microRNA, 23 nt
Filed under: Homo sapiens (human)
Lineage: Eukaryota; Metazoa; Chordata; Mammalia; Primates; Hominidae
Description: hsa-miR-10394-3p
Source: miRBase by way of RNAcentral